Molecule: ribosomal RNA, 253 nt
Filed under: uncultured Eubacteriales bacterium
Lineage: Bacteria; Bacillati; Bacillota; Clostridia; Eubacteriales
Description: uncultured Clostridiales bacterium partial 16S ribosomal RNA
Rfam family: Bacterial small subunit ribosomal RNA
Source: RNAcentral
UACGGAGGGUGCAAGCGUUAUCCGGAUUUACUGGGUGUAAAGGGAGCGUAGACGGCGAUGCAAGUCUGAAGUGAAAGGCGGGGGCCCAACCCCCGGACUGCUUUGGAAACUGUAUGGCUGGAGUGCAGGAGAGGUAAGUGGAACUACAUGUGUAGCGGUAAAAUGCGUAAAUAUAUGUAAGAACACCGGUGGCGAAGGCGGCUUGCUGGGCCUGUACUGACAUUGAGGCACGAAAGCGUGGGGAGCAAACAGG